CCUACGGGAGGCUGCAGUCGAGAAUAUUCCGCAAUGCACGAAAGUGUGACGGAGCGACGCCGCGUGUCGAAAGAAGGCCUUCGGGUCGUAAACGACUUUUAUCAGGGACGAAUUUUGACGGUACCUGAAGAAUAAGGGGUUGCUAACUCUGUGCCAGCAGCAGCGGUAAUACAGAGACCCCGAGCAUUAUCCGGAUUUAUUGGGCGUAAAGAGUCUGUAGGUGGUUUCGUAAGUCAUUUGUUAAAUCUUCAGGCUUAACCUGGAGGCUGCAGGUGAUACUGCGAGGCUUGAGUAUGGGAGAGGCAAGCGGAAUGCCCGGUGUAGCGGUAAAAUGCGUUAAUAUCGGGUAGAACACCAAAGGCGAAAGCAGCUUGCUGGAACAUUACUGACACUGAGAGACGAAAGCGUGGGUAGCGAAAGGGAUUAGAUACCCUAGUAGUC
Molecule: ribosomal RNA, 441 nt
Filed under: uncultured soil bacterium
Lineage: Bacteria
Description: bacterial SSU rRNA
Rfam family: Bacterial small subunit ribosomal RNA
Source: RNAcentral